RNAcentral lists this long non-coding RNA (397 nucleotides) under Brachypodium distachyon (stiff brome). RNAcentral's name for it is "long non-coding RNA (BDIS_LNC002461)". The record is from RNAcentral. Lineage: Eukaryota; Viridiplantae; Streptophyta; Magnoliopsida; Poales; Poaceae.
GCGGGGCCAGUCGAGCACGCGGGUGAGUCGGGCCGGUUCGGCCCAUUUGGCCAGGCCGGUCCGUUUCUUCCUUUUUUUUUCUUUUUCUGUUUUUCCUUUAUAACUUUUGAUUUUGAACUCCAAAUCAAUUCAAAUAAAUCCCAGAAAAUUUGUAAAAUCAUAUUAUAAUAUGAUUCAACUUUUGGGACUAUAAAUCCUUCCAAAUAAAAUAUAUAAAAAUAGUUUUGUCCUAUAAAUGCCUUUGGGGCUUCAUAACUAUUUAAAUAAAAUAGCUUUUCAACUCCAAAUAGAUACCAAAAAAAUAUGGGGUAGCUCAUUUAUGAAAUAAACCCCUUUUAUGAUCAAAACCUUAUUGGUUUAAAAACCAAAACUCAAAUGGGUAAAAAGGCUAAGGUUU